GAUAAACGCUGGCGGCGCACAUAAGACAUGCAAGUUGAACGGACUUAAUCGAAAUAUUUAUAUUUUGAAGCGGUUAGUGGCGGACUGGUGAGUAACGCGUAAGGAACCUGCCUAUUAGAGGGGAAUAACAGUGAGAAAUCAUUGCUAAUACCGCAUAUGCCAUAGAUAUCACAUGAUAACAGUGGGAAAGGAGCAAUCCGCUAAUAGAUGGCCUUGCGUCUGAUUAGAUAGUUGGUGGGGUAACGGCCUACCAAGUCGACGAUCAGUAGCCGGACUGAGAGGUUGAACGGCCACAUUGGGACUGAGAUACGGCCCAGACUCCUACGGGAGGCAGCAGUCGGGAAUAUUGCGCAAUGGAGGAAACUCUGACGCAGUGACGCCGCGUAUAGGAAGAAGGUUUUCGGAUUGUAAACUAUUGUCGUUAGGGAAGCGAAAUGACAGUACCUAAGGAGGAAGCUCCGGCUAACUACGUG
RNAcentral lists this ribosomal RNA (473 nucleotides) under uncultured bacterium. Its description in RNAcentral is "partial 16S ribosomal RNA". It matches the Rfam family "Bacterial small subunit ribosomal RNA", at positions 28 to 507 of the family's 1533-position model. The record is from RNAcentral.